RNAcentral lists this ribosomal RNA (253 nucleotides) under uncultured bacterium. RNAcentral's name for it is "partial 16S ribosomal RNA". It matches the Rfam family "Bacterial small subunit ribosomal RNA", at positions 524 to 776 of the family's 1533-position model. The record is from RNAcentral.
UACGAAGGGGGCUAGCGUUGCUCGGAGUCACUGGGCGUAAAGCGCACGUAGGCGGAUCUUUAAGUCAGGGGUGAAAUCCUGGAGCUCAACUCCAGAACUGCCUUUGAUACUGGGGAUCUCGAGUCCGGGAGAGGUGAGUGGAACUGCGAGUGUAGAGGUGAAAUUCGUAGAUAUUCGCAAGAACACCAGUGGCGAAGGCGGCUCACUGGCCCGGUACUGACGCUGAGGUGCGAAAGCGUGGGGAGCAAACAGG